AUUGAACGCUGGCGGCAGGCCUAACACAUGCAAGUCGAGCGGAUGAAGGGAGCUUGCUCCUGGAUUCAGCGGCGGACGGGUGAGUAAUGCCUAGGAAUCUGCCUGGUAGUGGGGGAUAACGUCCGGAAACGGGCGCUAAUACCGCAUACGUCCUGAGGGAGAAAGUGGGGGAUCUUCGGACCUCACGCUAUCAGAUGAGCCUAGGUCGGAUUAGCUAGUUGGUGGGGUAAAGGCCUACCAAGGCGACGAUCCGUAACUGGUCUGAGAGGAUGAUCAGUCACACUUGGACUUAGACAACGUUCCGAACUCUAAGGGAGGCCACAGGGGGGAAUAUUGGGCAAAGGGCGGAAGCCUGAUCCAGCCCUGCCGGGGGUGUGAAGAAGGUCUUCGGAUUGUAAAGCACUUUAAGUUGGGAGGAAGGGCAGUAAGUUAAUACCUUGCUGUUUUGACGUUACCAACAGAAUAAGCACCGGCUAACUUCGUG
This 484-nucleotide ribosomal RNA is filed under the name uncultured bacterium. RNAcentral describes it as "partial 16S ribosomal RNA". It matches the Rfam family "Bacterial small subunit ribosomal RNA", at positions 30 to 507 of the family's 1533-position model. The record is from RNAcentral.